This 382-nucleotide RNase P RNA is filed under the name Aliishimia ponticola. RNAcentral describes it as "Bacterial RNase P class A". It matches the Rfam family "Bacterial RNase P class A". Rfam says of the family: Ribonuclease P (RNase P) is a ubiquitous endoribonuclease, found in archaea, bacteria and eukarya as well as chloroplasts and mitochondria. Its best characterised activity is the generation of mature 5'-ends of tRNAs by cleaving the 5'-leader elements of precursor-tRNAs. The record is from Rfam by way of RNAcentral. Lineage: Bacteria; Pseudomonadati; Pseudomonadota; Alphaproteobacteria; Rhodobacterales; Paracoccaceae.
GCGGAAGGCCGGAUGACCGCGGGCGGCAACGUCCGAGGAAAGUCCGGACUCCAGAAAGUAGCGGUGCCGGGUAACGCCCGGGCGGGGAAACCCGACGGAAAGCGCCACAGAAAACAAACUACCCGUGCCUGCACGGGAAAAGGUGAAACGGUGGGGUAAGAGCCCACCGCCGGGCUGGCAACAGCGCGGGCAAGGCAAGCCCCACCGGGAGCAAUGCCGAAUAGGGACCGACGCGCCAAGGGUCGCAAGAUCCAAGGCAGGGCUGCUUUCGCCCGAAGUCAGGUCCGGGUUGGCAGCUAGAGGGCCUGUAGCAAUACAGGACCAAGAGGAAUGGUCAUCACCCUUCGGGGGACAGAAUCCGGCUUAUAGGCCUUCCGCGCAU